Molecule: long non-coding RNA, 1209 nt
Organism: Vidua chalybeata
Lineage: Eukaryota; Metazoa; Chordata; Aves; Passeriformes; Viduidae
Exons: 3
Source: RefSeq, a predicted model, not a curated record
UUUGUAUGCUGGCAGUACCAAACCGAAGUUUAGCACUGUGCAGCUGAGAUUUUGUGCAGCCAGACGAUGCAUGAGAUGCUGAGUCUUCAGGAAAAGGGACCAAUGACUAAUAAAUCAGGUGUUUCUUCCUUCACCUACUCGGAUCAAUAAGAAGCAGGAGAAAAAAUUUCUUGUUUGCAUGAGACAACACAGACAAACAGCACCAUGUAGUGGGGAGCCACAGGGAAUCAACUCAGCUCCCCAGUACACCGAACAAUCUGAUUUCUCCAGCCCAAACUCUGAUAUAUUCAUAAUGAGUCCAGAAAGAAUCAGAGAAUGAUUCGCAGCAUAGCUGCAACUCCAUUACAACAGACAAACCCCAGCCUGCAGCUGAAGUUAUUCUUUUGCCAAAGGAACAGACAACUGCUAUUCAAGUAAAGGUAGCACAUGAACUUGAGAAAACUGUUACAUAAAAUCACAUCUUUCUACCUCUGGGGAGAGAGCAGCAACUGGCAGCUGCUCCAAGACGGUACUUUCUGAUCCCACCUCUGAUCAGUGCAGUGGACAAAGCAAAGCCAAGCUUCCUCCUGUCCCCCUCCAAAUUCCCUGGGCAGCCAAACUGCUGUGGAUGUGUGAAUAGUUCAGGAGCAGCAGCCUGGCCAGCAGGUGAAAGAAAUUACUCCUAGUACAUAUAGAAAAUACAGUCAUGAGAAGACACAUGGUUUGGGACAGGAAACUGCUAUGAAAUGCACUCUGGGCAACUGGGCAUGGAUCUUUUCCUCUCCCUGAGUGUCUACCAAACUGUCCAAAACUUUGCUGUUUGAGAAGAUAUGCAAUGCAGAAUGCAUGUCAUUCAUUGUGUCCAGCAAUAAACAAAAUAUUUGGUGCAUUUUUAAUGCUGUAAAACCUUUUAAAAUACUUUUAAACCUUCCACUGUGGGACAGAAUUAGAAUUGUUUUGCUAUCUGCAACAGGCCUGGCCUCCAAUCACAUAAUUAAGCAAUCACAAAUUGCAAAAUUGGUUUGUUUGGUUCCCAAACCACACAAAUACUUAUAAAAUAAAAGCUUUUUUGUUCGUCAGUUAGUGCACUGUAACUUACAGGUUAUGAACAACACAAUUUGGCAAAUUGGAGCUUGGAGACCACGUCCACAUCUCCCAGUGUUUUCCCCACACUGGAUACUUCACUCAGUGUGCUCUUUAUGGUUCCAGUGGCUGCAUGCACUGAGAUAA